GAUCGAGGUAAGUUCCGUUUCGCCUCCUUUUCCCUUAAUAUUUUAGUUACUUUGUUUUCCUGACGAAAUGCUUGCGUCGGCAGCUGAUCUACACCAUGUCGGAACUCGAAGCCGGAUACCGGAGGUUCGGGAACGUCCGGGCGGCUUGGAAAGAAAGGUCGGCGACGGCCGAAGCCGACCGGACAAUGCUGGUCGACCACCUGAAGCAG
This 209-nucleotide long non-coding RNA is filed under the name Elaeis guineensis (African oil palm). Its description in RNAcentral is "long non-coding RNA (EGUI_LNC079672)". The record is from RNAcentral. Lineage: Eukaryota; Viridiplantae; Streptophyta; Magnoliopsida; Arecales; Arecaceae.